GGAAAUAGUGGAGCUGGCUAAAAGUAUGCCGAUGUACAGGUGCCCCUCCUGGCGAGUGCCUGGCAGGCAAAAUAGACGAGGACAAGUGUCCCAGUGAGAAUGGGAGAAACUUGUCACUGAUACUCAGGCAAGAGAGACGCAUCCACACCCAACGAAGGCUGGCGCAGAAGUCUAGGGCUUAGGUUCUACUUCUUGCACCUGACUAUAUUACCAUUACAUACCCUCUGCAAACCUGUAUUUGGAUUGUCUUAAACUGUCCAAACGUAGAUCUACGGUUGUGUGCGUAGUGCUCCGACUUUGAUUUUCUCCACAAGAAACAAUGUAAAAAACGUAGAUCUACAUUUUUGACAGUUUAAGGGUUAAUAAACCUCUUGGAGAGCAAAUGUUAACGACAGUAUCUCACUAGUUGCUCAUGGCAUCCUUUACCUAAUACAUUCUCAUGUAUAGAUUUUCAGAGUUUGUUCUAAAUAAUUGCAGUACUUUUCAUUACUUAGACCUCGUUGAAUACUUUUGUCAUGUCUAUUUUUAUUGACAGCUGAGAUACCAGAAAUGUUUAGAUGCACACCCUGGAGUAAGUCGUGGACGAGGAGCAGGUACUCCACGAAGCAUUUCGGCCACUUUGCGGUCUGUGUUCGGAUCCAUCACUGGACGAAAGGCUCGGUCAGCUGAAUCCUGAGAUGAGGACUCACCUCUGCAGGACUUCUGGGCCCAACCUGCAGAGCGUGAGGUCAUCCCACACCGCCACCUGACCAGUCCUGGAGGAGGCACCCCUUCCCCAACUGUGUCAGGGUGUCCCUUUUCCUCACGACAGGUGCAGGCACUGGUCUCUCCCACAUGUGAAUCUCCCCACUCAUAUAAUCUUCAUCGCUCCCCAACCACCCCAGCUCUCAUGAUGCAGAUACCUCCCACACCUGCCACACCCAUGUCCCCUAUGGAUGCCCUUCGACGCCUCCAAUUCCCCCCAGAUCUAUCCCCUUCACAUGAAGAGGAAGCUGACUUGGAGGAUGGAAUUGAUUUGGAGGAAGGAAUUGAUUUGGAAGAAGGAAUUCUUCUAGAGGCUGAUUUGGAGGAUGAGAAUAGCAGCAUGGACAAGUUGGGAGGUACCAUGCGGAAUGAGUGAGAGCUGCAGUUUUCUCCCUAAGGACUGAAGUGCCAUUUAGUCUACUUGGUAAACUGCCCAAUAUAUAACAUGGCAGCUGUGAUGGUGUACAUGGAGAGUUGACAUUAUACAUUUCUGAUGAGAAAAAAUGGAAAUAGCAGGCUUUUCAUUCACUUCUAUCUUGUUAAAUUACAAAGAUGGUGUAGAGCGAUCAAGACUGCAUUUUUCUAAGAUCUCUAUAAAAGUGUCCCUCCAUACUGCCAUGUGCCAAGUAGAUCCAGUAUGCCACCUACAUUUCUUCACUUUCAAUGGACCCAUAUGUCUAAUCCCUGCGCUGGUACUUCCAUCAUCUUUCUGACCUUGUUGAGUUCCUGUUUAGACACCCUCCACUUACCUGCAGAUUGACAUCUAAUGUGUCAUAAGUGAUAUAUAUAGUAGAUGUGAAUGAAAAGGAAAUACUGUACACAAGUAGAACAUGGAAAUAGUGUAGUCCAUUGCAAAGGGAUUACUCCAAGCCCAAGUAGUAAGUGUGUGGUUUGGUGUAUGCGCGUGAUUUGGUGUACGCACGGUCAGCAGGGCCCAGAAUGGCUGGUUGUGUGUAGACUAACUUGUCACAAAUCUUUUGCACGUACUCACUAAUGAUGAGUUUGUAAAUGUAAGAAUAUCCUAAGAACUUACUCCUAUGCUCUCGUUUGGCAUGUCAACUUCAAUUGUAACUUCUAAGUGGACAUAAGAAUUUUUGGGGAAUUCUUACCUUAUGACUGCAGCCUAAGCUUCACAGUGUUCCCAAGGAAGAGAUCAUUAGCAGGGGAUAAAGUUGUGCCUCUGCUUGCAUAGAAGUUUUGCUAACCACUAACACAUUGAUGUACAUUGUGAAUGUAUUUUCUGUGGCCUAGUGCAACUGUUUCCCCCAUCCCCCUCUAUCUGCAUUAAUAUUUCCUGUCAUGGAAAAAGCUAUAUAUAAUAUGUUGACUUAACCAUUUUAGGUCUGAAGUACAGUAAACAAUAAUUUUAGCCCUUUCACAGUAUUGUCAUUGAAGAUUUUAUAAUGUCAAUACUGUAUACAUAUAUAUAUAUAUUUAACUGAACUUGAUGUACAUGCUGAAAAGUGCUAAAAGUCAUAUUUGUUAUGUAACUGAAACCCAACUGGUAAAUUAGUUUUACAAUUUAACUACCAUAAAAAUUGGCUAAAUAUGAUUUACAAAUCUAGUGAGCUUUUCUCCCUAUAUUCAGUGUUUUAAUUUUAUAUUUUACUCAUAUCUGUGGGUUAAGCCUUUUAUUCAUCCCCAGAUUCUCUCAGCUUUGUUCUAACACUGACUAACUCUUCAGCUGAAUUCUUGUAGGCUACUUCUAAUCUUGUUGACUGUGAGUGAAUGUUCUCUUGUUACCGCAUAUAGCCAAGUAACUAGUCGUUAACAUAUUGUACUUACGAGUGGAGCUUGACUGGAGAAAACUUUACAUAUUAGGGAUUAACAUCAAUGAGCACAAGGAUCUUAGAUGGCUUGUAAUACUCAAAAAUUCAUGGGUUUAUGACAACAGCCAUUAAUAACAUUAUAGAAAUUAGAUUGCACAGAUAAGGGAUGUAAGUUUUCCCUAUCUGAUUUUUUUUUUUUUGGCUUGUAGCUCCCAAUGAUAGCAUACACACUAAUACAGUACCACAUUUCCUUGUGCCCAUUGCAAAUAACACCUGCAUGAAAGAGUCUCAGGUGCAAAAUGGAACCAAUGUAUUGAUAGUGUUUUUCUUGGCCAUUCACCUGAGCCUCCUGAAUUGACCCCACAAUGGCCAUAUGACACAAAAUUAGGAUUCUUUGGAGAACAAUCAAGGGAAUGUCUCAGCAGAUCACUGUAGUAUCCUCAUUCACCCUUAGUUUUUGUCUAAUGAGUUUUUAAUACAAUACGGAAUACUAAAAAAUAAAGAACAGUUGGAUACACAGUUUGACAAUAUAGGAAGAUAUUAUAGUAUGUUUAGACAACCUUGAAUGAAAAUCCUCAACUGUGGAAGCUGGGUCACUGUAGGGGUAGUCCAUACAGCACAGUCACAACACGUGUAACUCCACCAGCAACUAUGACCCAUUUUUCCAGACUGGCACUUAUUUGUAAUCUUACUCAAACCACCAAGGUAGCAAAAGUUACCUGCAUGUUGAAGACACAUUUUCUUGAUUUUUUUGGUAAUUUUAAACUGAAAAUAGAUUACAAGGAUUUUUACUGUUGUUAUGGCACUAUAUUAUUUUUUGAUUGAGUAAAUGUUGCUUGUUAAACAAUUUUCUUUACUUUUGCUAUACUUUACAGAAAUUUACUUAUAAUCUUAUGGAUUAUAGUUGCUGGUCAUAUUACAACAAUUGCCAUAGUUACAGUACCAGCAUCAGUAUGUUCACCCAUUAUUGUGACUUGUCUCAUAGGAUUGCUGAUUUAUAAUGGGGCAGUUAUAACUAAUCUGAAUCAGAAAAGAAAAUACAUAUAAACUUUGCAGAACCUAGUAGAGCUUUUUAAUUUCAAGUCAACAGAACUGUAUAAAGUAUGAAUAAAUAUAUAUAUUGGUAGAUAUGAUUUUUUCCUUUGAUAGUAGAGGGGUUCUUGCAAAAGUUUAAAUAAUGCCAUACUUAUACAUUCCACUGAAGUAGUUAUUAAUUUGAGGGAAUAUUGUUACAGCACUGGCCAUAUGUAGUGGCCACAUUAGCCCAUCUAAUGAUAGUGUAAGGCUGUUUGUAAUUUUGUUUAUUAUUAUUCAUGUCCAAUCAGUGUAAAAGAUUAAGGAAACUACAGUAUGGUUUCAUGGUAAUUAAUUUACAACCUGAAUGGUAUUUUCCAUUAUUUCAUUAACUUCUUUUGAAAUGCCUUUUGAGAUGUAAUACUUUAUGGGUGAAGUUUUUGUGUACUUUUGUAUUUAAGUUACACAUACAUGUAUGUACAACUCUUCUGGCAAGUCAUGUAUUUAAGUGCCGCUUACACAAACUUUAUCAAUGUUGAUACCCAGGUGUGAGCAAAUACAUUAUUACAUAGGAUCAA
Non-coding RNA from Cherax quadricarinatus, 4105 nucleotides. The record is from RefSeq and is a predicted model, not a curated record. NCBI's taxonomy places the organism in Eukaryota, Metazoa, Arthropoda, Malacostraca, Decapoda, Parastacidae.